UCCCUGGUGGCUCAGACAGUAAAGAAUCUGCCUGCAAUGUAGGAGACCCAGGUUCGAUCCCUGGGUCGGGAA
RNAcentral lists this transfer RNA (72 nucleotides) under Bos taurus (domestic cattle). It matches the Rfam family "tRNA". Rfam says of the family: Transfer RNA (tRNA) molecules are approximately 80 nucleotides in length. Their secondary structure includes four short double-helical elements and three loops (D, anti-codon, and T loops). RNAcentral also lists the same sequence under 4 other names. Lineage: Eukaryota; Metazoa; Chordata; Mammalia; Artiodactyla; Bovidae. The record is from Rfam by way of RNAcentral.